Non-coding RNA from Myotis davidii, 75 nucleotides. NCBI's taxonomy places the organism in Eukaryota, Metazoa, Chordata, Mammalia, Chiroptera, Vespertilionidae. The record is from Rfam.
GGUGGUUCUUGGGUAACGCACCCCAGAAUCUGGCUCCUUCCUCUCUACUUUUGGGUGCAUCAUCUGAGAACCGCA